AGAGUUUGAUCCUGGCUCAGGACGAACGCUGGCGGCGUGCUUAACACAUGCAAGUCGAGCGAUGAAGCUUCCUUCGGGGAGUGGAUUAGCGGCGGACGGGUGAGUAACACGUGGGUAACCUGCCUCAAAGUGGGGGAUAGCCUUCCGAAAGGAAGAUUAAUACCGCAUAAUAUAAGAGAAUCGCAUGAUUUUCUUAUCAAAGAUUUAUUGCUUUGAGAUGGACCCGCGGCGCAUUAGCUAGUUGGUAAGAUAACGGCUUACCAAGGCAACGAUGCGUAGCCGACCUGAGAGGGUGAUCGGCCACAUUGGAACUGAGACACGGUCCAGACUCCUACGGGAGGCAGCAGUGGGGAAUAUUGCGCAAUGGGGGAAACCCUGACGCAGCAACGCCGCGUGGGUGAUGAAGGUCUUCGGAUUGUAAAGCCCUGUUUUCUAGGACGAUAAUGACGGUACUAGAGGAGGAAGCCACGGCUAACUACGUGCCAGCAGCCGCGGUAAUACGUAGGUGGCGAGCGUUGUCCGGAUUUACUGGGCGUAAAGGGUGCGUAGGCGGAUGUUUAAGUGGGAUGUGAAAUCCCCGGGCUUAACCUGGGGGCUGCAUUCCAAACUGGAUAUCUAGAGUGCAGGAGAGGAAAGCGGAAUUCCUAGUGUAGCGGUGAAAUGCGUAGAGAUUAGGAAGAACACCAGUGGCGAAGGCGGCUUUCUGGACUGUAACUGACGCUGAGGCACGAAAGCGUGGGUAGCAAACAGGAUUAGAUACCCUGGUAGUCCACGCCGUAAACGAUGGAUACUAGGUGUAGGGGGUAUCAACUCCCCCUGUGCCGCAGUUAACACAAUAAGUAUCCCGCCUGGGGAGUACGGUCGCAAGAUUAAAACUCAAAGGAAUUGACGGGGGCCCGCACAAGCAGCGGAGCAUGUGGUUUAAUUCGAAGCAACGCGAAGAACCUUACCUGGACUUGACAUCCCUUGCAUAGCCUAGAGAUAGGUGAAGCCCUUCGGGGCAAGGAGACAGGUGGUGCAUGGUUGUCGUCAGCUCGUGUCGUGAGAUGUUAGGUUAAGUCCUGCAACGAGCGCAACCCUUGUUAUUAGUUGCUACCAUUAAGUUGAGCACUCUAAUGAGACUGCCUGGGUAACCAGGAGGAAGGUGGGGAUGACGUCAAAUCAUCAUGCCCCUUAUGUCCAGGGCUACACACGUGCUACAAUGGUAGGUACAAUAAGACGCAAGACCGUGAGGUGGAGCAAAACUUAUAAAACCUAUCUCAGUUCGGAUUGUAGGCUGCAACUCGCCUACAUGAAGCUGGAGUUGCUAGUAAUCGCGAAUCAGAAUGUCGCGGUGAAUACGUUCCCGGGCCUUGUACACACCGCCCGUCACACCAUGAGAGCUGGUAACACCCGAAGUCCGUGAGGUAACCGUAAGGAGCCAGCGGCCGAAGGUGGGAUUAGUGAUUGGGGUGAAGUCGUAACAAGGUAGCCGUAGGAGAACCUGCGGCUGGAUCACCUCC
Molecule: ribosomal RNA, 1502 nt
Filed under: Clostridium botulinum A str. ATCC 19397
Lineage: Bacteria; Bacillati; Bacillota; Clostridia; Eubacteriales; Clostridiaceae
Also listed under: 1 other name
Description: bacterial SSU rRNA
Rfam family: Bacterial small subunit ribosomal RNA
Source: RNAcentral